RNAcentral lists this ribosomal RNA (492 nucleotides) under uncultured bacterium. RNAcentral's name for it is "partial 16S ribosomal RNA". It matches the Rfam family "Bacterial small subunit ribosomal RNA", at positions 29 to 507 of the family's 1533-position model. The record is from RNAcentral.
AGCGAACGCUGGCGGCAUGCCUAACACAUGCAAGUCGAACGGCAGCACAGUAAGUGCUUGCUCUUACGGGUGGCGAGUGGCGGACGGGUGAGGAAUACAACGGAAUCUACUUUUUCGUGGGGGAUAACGUAGGGAAACCUACUCUAAUACCGCAUACGACCCACGGGGGAAAGCAGGGGAUCUUCGGACCUUGUGCGAAUGAAUGAGCCGAUGUCGGAUUUGCUAGUUGGCGGGGUAAAGGCCCACGAAGGCGAGGAUCGGUAGCUGGUAUGGGAGGACGGUCCCCCACACGGGAGGGGAGGCACGAACCACGCUCCUACGGGAGGCAACAGAGGGGAACGUUAGACAAUGGGGGCAAGCCUAGUCCAGCCAUACCGCGUGGGAGAAGACGGCCUUCCGGUCGUAAAGCCCUUUUGUUGGGAGAGAAAAGCAGCAGGUUAAAACGCCGCUGUUCUGACGGUACCCAAAGAAUAAGCACCGGCUAACUACGUG